AGGGUGUAAAACGCUGCAGACUUGGUGUUGGAGGCCCUUUGGGGGGCAUUCAGUGCCGGAGAGAAGUUGUUAAGUCUGCUACUUGGGGAGUACGUCCGCAAGGAUGAAACUUAAAGGAAUUGGCGGGGGAGCACCGCAACGGGAGGAGCGUGCGGUUUAAUUGGAUUCAACACCGUAAAACUCACCAGGGAAGACUGUUACAUGAAGGCCGAGAUGAAGACUCUGCUAGAUUUUUCAGAGAGGAGGUGCAUGGCGUCAGUGACU
Molecule: ribosomal RNA, 264 nt
Filed under: uncultured archaeon
Lineage: Archaea
Description: partial 16S ribosomal RNA
Rfam family: Archaeal small subunit ribosomal RNA
Source: RNAcentral